GACGAACGCUGGCGGCGUGCCUAAUACAUGCAAGUAGAACGCUGAAGGAGGAGCUUGCUUCUCUGGAUGAGUUGCGAACGGGUGAGUAACGCGUAGGUAACCUGCCUGGUAGCGGGGGAUAACUAUUGGAAACGAUAGCUAAUACCGCAUAAGAGUAGAUGUUGCAUGACAUUUGCUUAAAAGGUGCACUUGCAUCACUACCAGAUGGACCUGCGUUGUAUUAGCUAGUUGGUGGGGUAACGGCUCACCAAGGCGACGAUACAUAGCCGACCUGAGAGGGUGAUCGGCCAGACUGGGACUGAGACACGGCCCAGAGUCCUAAGGGAGGCAGCAGUAGGGAAUCUUCGGCAAUGGACGGAAGUCUGACCGAGCAACGCCGCGGGAGUGAAGAAGGGUGUCGGAUUGUAAAGCUCUGUUGUAAGAGAAGAACGAGUGUGAGAGUGGAAAGUUCACACUGUGACGGUAGCUUACCAGAAAGGGACGGCUAACUACGUG
This 495-nucleotide ribosomal RNA is filed under the name uncultured bacterium. Its description in RNAcentral is "partial 16S ribosomal RNA". It matches the Rfam family "Bacterial small subunit ribosomal RNA", at positions 28 to 507 of the family's 1533-position model. The record is from RNAcentral.